This 81-nucleotide transfer RNA is filed under the name Weissella oryzae SG25. RNAcentral's name for it is "tRNA-Thr". The record is from RNAcentral. Lineage: Bacteria; Bacillati; Bacillota; Bacilli; Lactobacillales; Lactobacillaceae.
AUUCCUUUAACGCAGCUGUUUAGAGUAUUAGCAUUGUAUUAACUAAAUAUAAAGUCGCUAGUUCAAUUCCAGCAAGAAAUA